RNAcentral lists this ribosomal RNA (459 nucleotides) under uncultured bacterium. RNAcentral describes it as "partial 16S ribosomal RNA". It matches the Rfam family "Bacterial small subunit ribosomal RNA", at positions 338 to 795 of the family's 1533-position model. The record is from RNAcentral.
CCUACGGGGGACAGCAGUGAGGAAUAUUGGUCAAUGGGCGAGAGCCUGAACCAGCCAAGUCGCGUGAGGGAGUACUGCCCUAUGGGUUGUAAACCUCUUUUGUCGGGGAGCAAAAGCCGGACGUGUCCGGCUGUGAGAGUACCCGAAGAAAAAGCAUCGGCUAACUCCGUGCCAGCAGCCGCGGUAAUACGGAGGGUGCAAGCGUUACUCGGAAUCACUGGGCGUAAAGAGUGCGCAGGCGGGCUUGUAAGUCAGAUGUGAAAUCCUGUAGCUUAACUACAGAACUGCAUUUGAAACUAUGAGUCUAGAGUGUGGGAGAGGUAGGUGGAAUUCUUGGUGUAGGGGUAAAAUCCGUAGAUAUCAAGAGGAAUACUCAUUGCGAAGGCGACCUACUGGAACAUUACUGACGCUCAUGCACGAAAGCGUGGGGAGCAAACAGGAUUAGAUACCCCAGUAGUC